Non-coding RNA from Caerostris darwini, 90 nucleotides. The record is from the annotation of a GenBank genome assembly. NCBI's taxonomy places the organism in Eukaryota, Metazoa, Arthropoda, Arachnida, Araneae, Araneidae.
AACGGCCAUACCAUGCUGAAUAGACCGGUUCUCGUUAGAUCAACGAAGUCAAGCAUCAUUGGGCGCAGUCAGUACUUGGGCGGGUGACAU